GAAGAACCUUUCCUCGCCCUUACAAGGUAUGAACCCUUAAGAAAAUAGGGGGUGGUCCCUUGGGGGAACCUAAAACCAGGUGUUGCAGGGCGGUGUUCAGCUCGGGUCGUGAGAUGUUGGGUUAAUUCCCGCAACGAGGCCAACCUUCUUCUUUAGUUGCUAACAGUUAGGCUGGGCACUCUAAAGAGACUGCCUUCGUAAGGAGGAGGAAGGUGAGGACGACGUCAAGUCAUCAUGGCCCUUACGGCCAGGGCUACACACGUGCUACAAUGGGGCGUACAGAGAGCUGCAAUACCGCGAGGUGGAGCCAAUCUCUUAAAGCGUCUCUCAGUUCGGAUUGUUCUUUGCAACUCGAGAACAUGAAGCUGGAAUCAGCUAGUA
This 381-nucleotide ribosomal RNA is filed under the name uncultured bacterium. RNAcentral describes it as "bacterial SSU rRNA". It matches the Rfam family "Bacterial small subunit ribosomal RNA", at positions 963 to 1340 of the family's 1533-position model. The record is from RNAcentral.